Molecule: long non-coding RNA, 311 nt
Organism: Melospiza melodia melodia
Lineage: Eukaryota; Metazoa; Chordata; Aves; Passeriformes; Passerellidae
Exons: 3
Source: RefSeq, a predicted model, not a curated record
AGAAGAUUCUACUAAAGCUGGGAAAUUCUAAUGAACAUUUGAACUGAGAUACCCAUGGCUGGUGGCUUGGAGUUUGAGCUGGACUGCACGAUCUUCUUUAUGGCAUUUAAAUACCUGCUUCAGGAGUCACAAUCAUAUUUCUCCUUGCCAAGCUGGAAACAUUAAACCUCCAAGCAAUCAGAGCAGGCAUAUCUGUUCUGCACAAAAGGACAUAGGAGAAAACUGGCUAACAGAUUCAGCUCAACUCCCCUUAUCUGGCUGAGUGGUCCCACCUACCUGGAAAUUUCCACAGGGAUUCAUAUGAAUUGUGA